This is an RNA transcript of Daucus carota subsp. sativus, 1404 nucleotides long. It is a transcript of the gene named chaperonin-like RbcX protein 2, chloroplastic, with no coding region annotated. The transcript has 6 exons. The record is from RefSeq and is a predicted model, not a curated record. NCBI's taxonomy places the organism in Eukaryota, Viridiplantae, Streptophyta, Magnoliopsida, Apiales, Apiaceae.
UAAUACUUGAGAAGCAGCCAACAUUUCAUUUCACUACAUUUUUGUUAUGUUCUUGUGGUUGUAUCAUUCUGGACCUCAUAUUAUUCUUCUGGCCAGACUUUGAUUUCACAUGCAUCAACCCCUUUAAAAAAAAAUCUGGCCUCUGUAUCUUCCACCUUUUUUCAUCCAAAUUCAUGCAUCUUUGACUACACUCUAUAAUCUCCAAUUCCCUUGGAUACCCACCUACUUUUUCUUGUUUUCUAAGAAGGGUAUCUUUUGUUUUGUUGGAAUCUUGAGUCUAGAUUUCGGUUCUUUGGUUUUCUUGAUUUAGGGUGUGUUUUGUUUUGGAAAAAUGGUGGGGGCUUUCUCUGUUGUGGGUUCAUCAAUGGUGGACACGCAUACUGGUCCUUGUUUGUGUCUGGAUUCUCUGGUAUCGAAUCAUGUGAAUUCAUUGAGUAAAAAGCGUGAUAUGCCUCGGCCUGGAUCGUUGGAGUUGAGCUCUUCUUUCGUCGAUUCGAAGAAGUUUUCGACCAAAGCUUUGUCCAGGAUUAAGAGUUCAAAGAAGCAGAGAAAGACUAGGAGUCUUGUGAUUGUUAAUGAAGUGGCUGGACAGUAUGAAGACAGCUUCGAGGAUGUCAAAGCUCAAAUGAUUAAUUAUUUUACGUACAAAGCUGUGAGGACUGUUAUGAAUCAGCUUUACGAGAUGAACCCCACCGAGUACCGUUGGUUCUAUGAUUUCGUUGUCUCAAACAAGCCGGGUGAUGGAAAAAGAUUUCUUCGCAUCCUUGUAAAGGAGAAGCAGGAUCUCGCCGAAAGAGUGAUGGUAACACGCCUUCAUCUCUAUGGAAAAUGGAUUAAGAAAUGUGAUCAUGCAGCAAUGUACAAUGAGAUUUCAGACCAGAAUUUAGAGUUGAUGCGAGAAAGGCUCAUGGAGACUGUGAUAUGGCCCUCAGACGACACAAACACAGAGAAGAUUGGAUGACGGCCUUCAAUGAUGGAUAUACCUUUAGUUUUAUUCCUGUUUUCGCUGUUCUUACAGUCUAGGAAAUUAUGUUAUGCCAUUGUAAGUCAUGGAGCCGAGUGGUGUUUUUACACGAAGCUGAGAGAAAAACCUCAAAUAAGUAAAUAUCAGACGACGGAUAUCUAAGCAGGGAUCAAUGACCAACAAGCAUAGUCUGCAAGUCUGCAACUACCGAACAGCACGAGCAAAUGCACCAGGGCUACUGAAUGAAUUCAGAUUUACGAAAGCCCAGACAGCAGCCGCGAGUAGUUGGCUGUCAUUAUUCUGCAAAAACUCGACUAUUAGUCUAUUACUGACAUGAAUCAGGGUCUUCCUGUGGCAUCAGUCGGUGCAUAAGCACUCCCUUGUGAAACUUAAGUUGCAGAGGAUAUACAUUCUAUGAAAGUUUCCAGAUAAUUUUAUCA